GGAAACUCACCAGGUCCAGACACAAUAAGGAUUGACAGAUUGAGAGCUCUUUCUUGAUUUUGUGGGUGGUGGUGCAUGGCCGUUCUUAGUUGGUGGAGUGAUUUGUCUGCUUAAUUGCGAUAACGAACGAGACCUUAACCUACUAAAUAGUGCUGCUAGCUUUUGCUGGUAUAGUCACUUCUUAGAGGGACUAUCGAUUUCAAGUCGAUGGAAGUUUGAGGCAAUAACAGGUCUGUGAUGCCCUUAGACGUUCUGGGCCGAACGCGCGCUACACUGACGGAGCCAGCGAGUAUUAACCUUGGCCGAGAGGUCUGGGAAAUCUUGUGAAACUCCGUCGUGCUGGGGAUAGAGCAUUGUAAUUAUUGCUCUUCAACGAGGAAUUCCUAGUAAGCGCAAGUCAUCAGCUUGCGUUGAUUACGUCCCUGCCCUUUGUACACACCGCCCGUCGCUACUACCGAUUGAAUGGCUUAGUGAGGCCUCCGGAUUGGUUUAAAGAAGGGGGCAACUCCAUCUUGGAACCGAAAAGCUGGUCAAACUUGGUCAUUUAGAGGAAGUAA
RNAcentral lists this ribosomal RNA (557 nucleotides) under uncultured fungus. RNAcentral's name for it is "SSU rRNA". It matches the Rfam family "Eukaryotic small subunit ribosomal RNA", at positions 1209 to 1785 of the family's 1831-position model. Lineage: Eukaryota; Fungi. The record is from RNAcentral.